This is a long non-coding RNA of Anopheles funestus (African malaria mosquito), 3937 nucleotides long. RefSeq lists it as uncharacterized. NCBI's taxonomy places the organism in Eukaryota, Metazoa, Arthropoda, Insecta, Diptera, Culicidae. The record is from RefSeq and is a predicted model, not a curated record. The transcript has 4 exons.
AACAACAGAUUUCGGUUGAAGUUGAUAAUUUUGGUCGAUGUUGAUGGUUUUGGUCGAAGUUGGUUGGAAACAACGGAUUUCGGUAGAAGUUGAUGAUUUUGGUCGAUGUUGAUGGUUUUGGUCGAAGUUGGUUAGAAACUACAGAUUUCGGUUGAAGUUGAUAAUUUUGGUCGAUGUUGAUGGUUUUGGUCGAAGUUGGUUAGAAACUACAGAUUUCGGUUGAAGUUGAUGAUUUUGGUCGAUGUUGAUGGAUUUGGUCGAAGUUUUUUGGAAACAACAGAUUUCGGUUGAAGUUGAUGAUUUUGGUCGAUGUUGAUGGUUUUGGUCGAAGUUGGUUAGAAACUACAGAUUUCGGUUGAAGUUGAUGAUUUUGGUCGAUGUUGAUGGUUUUAGUCGAAGUUGGUUGGAAACAACAGAUUUCGGUUGAAGUUGAUGAUUUUGGUCGAUGUUGAUGGUUUUGGUCGAAGUUGGUUAGAAACUACAGAUUUUGGUUGAAGUUGAUGAUUUUGGUCGAUGUUGAUGGUUUUGGUCGAAGUUUUUUUGAAACAACAGAUUUUGGUUGAAGUUGAUGAUUUUGGUCGAUGUUGAUGGUUUUGGUCGAAGUUGGUUGGAAACAACAGAUUUCGGUUGAAGUUGAUGAUUUUGGUCGAUGUUGAUGGUUUUAGUCGAAGUUGGUUUUAAACAACAGAUUUCGGUUGAAGUUGAUGAUUUUGGUCGAUGUUGAUGGUUUUAGUCGAAGUUGGUUUUAAACAACAGAUUUCGGUUGAAGUUGAUGAUUUUGGUCGAUGUUGAUGGUUUUGGCCGAAGUUGGUUGGAAACAACAGAUUUCGGUUGAAGUUGAUGAUUUUGGUCGAUGUUGAUGGUUUUGGUCGAAGUUGGUUUUAAACUACAGAUUUCGGUUGAAGUUGAUGAUUUUGGUCGAUGUUGAUGGUUUUGGUCGAAGUUGGUUAGAAACUACAGAUUUCGGUUGAAGUUGAUGAUUUUGGUCGAUGUUGAUGGUUUUAGUCGAAGUUGGUUGGAAACAACAGAUUUCGGUUGAAGUUGAUGAUUUUGGUCGAUGUUGAUGGUUUUAGUCGAAGUUGGUUUUAAACAACAGAUUUCGGUUGAAGUUGAUGAUUUUGGUCGAUGUUGAUGGUUUUGGCCGAAGUUGGUUGGAAACAACAGAUUUCGGUUGAAGUUGAUGAUUUUGGUCGAUGUUGAUGGUUUUGGUCGAAGUUGGUUAGAAACUACAGAUUUCGGUUGAAGUUGAUGAUUUUGGUCGAUGUUGAUGGUUUUAGUCGAAGUUGGUUGGAAACAACAGAUUUCGGUUGAAGUUGAUGAUUUUGGUCGAUGUUGAUGGUUUUAGUCGAAGUUGGUUUUAAACAACAGAUUUCGGUUGAAGUUGAUGAUUUGGUCGAUGUUGAUGGUUUUAGUCGAAGUUGGUUUUAAACAACAGAUUUCGGUUGAAGUUGAUGAUUUUGGUCGAUGUUGAUGGUUUUAGUCGAAGUUGGUUGGAAACAGCAGAUUUCGGUUGAAGUUGAUGAUUUUGGUCGAUGUUGAUGGUUUUGGUCGAAGUUGGUUUUAAACUACAGAUUUCGGUUGAAGUUGAUGAUUUUGGUCGAUGUUGAUGGUUUUGGUCGAAGUUGGUUAGAAACUACAGAUUUCGGUUGAAGUUGAUAAUUUUGGUCGAUGUUGAUGGUUUUGGUCGAAGUUGGUUAGAAACUACAGAUUUCGGUUGAAGUUGAUGAUUUUGGUCGAUGUUGAUGGUUUUGGUCGAAGUUGGUUUUAAACAACAGAUUUCGGUUGAAGUUGAUGAUUUUGGUCGAUGUUGAUGGUUUUGGUCGAAGUUGGUUGGAAACAACAGAUUUCGGUUGAAGUUGAUGAUUUUGGUCGAUGUUGAUGGUUUUAGUCGAAGUUGGUUGGAAAUAACAGAUUUCGGUUGAAGUUAAUGAUUUUGGUCGAUGUUGAUGGUUUUGGUCGAAGUUGGUUUUAAACAACAGAUUUCGGUUGAAUUUGAUGAUUUUGGUCGAUGUUGAUGGUUUUGGUCGAAGUUGGUUGGAAACAACAGAUUUCGGUUGAAGUUGAUGAUUUUGGUCGAUGUUGAUGAUUUUAGUCGAAGUUGGUUGGAAACAACAGAUUUCGGUUGAAGUUGAUGAUUUUGGUCGAUGUGGAUGUUUUUGGUCGAAGUUGGUUGGAAACAACAGAUUUCGGUUGAAGUUGAUGAUUUUGGUCAAUGUUGAUGGUUUUGGUCGAAGUUGGUUGGAAACAACAGAUUUCGGUUGAAGUUGAUGAUUUUGGUCGAUGUUGAUGGUUUUUGGUCGAAGUUGGUUUUUAACUACAGAUUUCUGUUGAAGUUGAUGAUUUUGGUCGAAGUUGGUUUUUAACUACAGAUUUCUGUUGAAGUUGAUGAUUUUGAUCGAAGUUGGUUUUUAACUACAGAUUUCUGUUGAAGUUGAUGAUUUUGGUCGAAGUUGGUUUUAAACAACAGAUUUCGGUUGAAGUUGAUGAUUUCGGUUGAAGUUGAUGGUUUUGGUCGAAGUUGGUUGGAAACAACAGAUUUCGGUUGAAGUUGAUGAUUUUGGUCGAUGUGAAUGGUUUUGGUCGAAGUUGGUUGGAAACAACAGAUUUCGGUUGAAGUUGAUGAUUUUGGUCGAUGUGAAUGGUUUUGGUCGAAGUUGGUUGGAAACAACAGAUUUCGGUUGAAGUUGAUGAUUUUGGUCGAUGUUGAUGGUUUUAGUCGAAGUUGGUUGGAAACAACAGAUUUCGGUUGAAGGUGAUGAUUUUGGUCGAUGUUGAUGGUUUUAGUCGAAGUUGGUUAGAAACAACAGAUUUCGGUUGAAGUUGAUGAUUUUGGUCGAUGUUGAUGGUUUUGGUCGAAGUUGGUUUUAAACAACAGAUUUCGGUUGAAGUUGAUGCUUUCGGUCGAUGUUGAUGGUUUUGGUCGAAGUUGGUUGGAAACAACAGAUUUCGGUUGAAGUUGAUGAUUUUGGUCGAUGUUGAUGGUUUUGGUCGAAGUUGGUUGGAAACAACAGAUUUCGGUUGAAGUUGAUGAUUUUGGUCGAAGUUGGUUUUAAACAACAGAUUUCGGUUGAAGUUGAUGAUUUUGGUCGAUGUUGAUGGUUUUGGUCGAAGUUGGUUGGAAACAACAGAUUUCGGUUGAAGUUGAUGAUUUUGGUCGAUGUUGAUGGUUUUUUUCGAAGUUAAUUUUAAACAACAGAUUUCGGUUGAAGUUGAUGAUUUUAGUCGAAGUUGAUGAUUUUAGUCGAAGUUGGUUGGAAACAACAGAUUUCGGUUGAAGUUGAUGAUUUUGGUCGAUGUUGAUGGUUUUGGUCGAAGUUGGUUGGAAACAACAGAUUUCGGUUGAAGUUGAUGAUUUUGUUCGAUGUUGAUGGUUUUGGUCGAAGUUGGAUUUAAACAACAGAUUUCGGUUGAAGUUGAUGCUUUCGGUCGAUGUUGAUGGUUUUGGUCGAAGUUGGUUGGAAACAACAGAUUUCGGUUGAAGUUGAUGAUUUUGGUCGAUGUUGAUGGUUUUGGUCGAAGUUGGUUGGAAACAACAGAUUUCGGUUGAAGUUGAUGAUUUUGGUCGAUGUUGAUGGUUUUGGUCGAAGUUGGUUUUAAACAACAGAUUUCGGUUGAAGUUGAUGAUUUUGGUCGAUGUUGAUGGUUUUGGUCGAAGUUGGUUUUAAACAACAGAUUUCGGUUGAAGUUGAUGAUUUUGGUCGAUGUUGAUGGUUUUGGUCGAAGUUUUUUUUAAACAACAGAUUUCGGUUGAAGUUGAUGAUUUUGGUCGAUGUUGAUGAUUUUGGUCGAAGUUGGUUGGAAACAACAGAUUUCGGUUGAAGUUGAUGAUUUUGGUCGAUGUUGAUGGUUUUGGUCGAAGUUGGUUGGAAACAACAGAUUUCGGUUGAAGUUGAUGAUUUUGGUCGAUGUUGAUGGUUUUGGACGAAGUUUUUUUAAA